CCUACGUGAUGCAGCAGUGGGGAAUAUUGGACAAUGGGGGGAACCCUGAUCCAGCGACGCCGCGUGAGUGCAGAAGUAUUUCGGUAUGUAAAGCUCUAUCAGAAGGGCAGAAAGAAAUGACGGUACCUGACUAAGAAGCACCGGCUAACUCCGUGCCAGCAGCCGCGGUAAUACGUAGGGGGCAAGCGUUAUCCGGAUUGACUGGGUGUAAAGGGAGCGUAGACGGUGAUGCAAGUCUGAAGUGAAAGGCGGGGGCGCAACCUCCGGACUGCUUUGGAAACUGUAUGGCUGGAGUGCAGGAGAGGUAAGUGGAAUGCCUAGUGUAGCGGUGAAAUGCGUAGAUAUUAGGAGGAACACCAGUGGCGAAGGCGGCUUACUGGACUGUAACUGACGUUGAGGCUCGAAAGCGUGGGGAGCAAACAGGAUUAGAUACCCUGGUAGUC
Molecule: ribosomal RNA, 443 nt
Filed under: uncultured bacterium
Lineage: Bacteria
Description: partial 16S ribosomal RNA
Rfam family: Bacterial small subunit ribosomal RNA
Source: RNAcentral